This 433-nucleotide ribosomal RNA is filed under the name uncultured bacterium. RNAcentral's name for it is "partial 16S ribosomal RNA". It matches the Rfam family "Bacterial small subunit ribosomal RNA", at positions 29 to 507 of the family's 1533-position model. The record is from RNAcentral.
AACGAACGCUGGCGGCAUGCCUAACACAUGCCAGUCGAACGAGACCUUCGGGUCUAGUGGCGCACGGGUGCGCAACGCGUGGGAACCUGCCCUUAGGUUCGGAAUAACUCCCCGAAAGGGGUGCUAAUACCGGAUAAUGUCUUCGGACCAAAGAUUUAUCGCCUUUGGAUGGGCCCGCGUUGGAUUAGCUAGUUGGUAGGGUAAAAGCCUACCAAGGCGACGAUCCAUAGCUGGUCUGAGAGGAUGAUCAGCCACACUGGGACUGAGACACGGCCCAGACUCCUACGGGAGGCAGCAGUGGGGAAUAUUGGACAAUGGGCGAAAGCCUGAUCCAGCAAUGCCGCGUGAGUGAUGAAGGCCUUAGGGUUGUAAAGCUCUUUUACCCGGGAUGAUAAUGACAGUACCGGGAGAAUAAGCGCCGGCUAACUCCGUG